RNAcentral lists this ribosomal RNA (254 nucleotides) under uncultured bacterium. Its description in RNAcentral is "partial 16S ribosomal RNA". The record is from RNAcentral.
CUGCUGCCUUCCGUAGGAGUUUGGGCCGUGUCUCAGUCCCAAUGUGGCCGUCCACCCUCUCAGGCCGGCUACUGAUCGUCGCUUUGGUGGGCCGUUACCCCGCCAACUGGCUAAUCAGACGCGGGCCCAUCCUGCACCGCCGCAGCUUUCAAAAAUAUAUCAUGCAAUAUAUUUUAUUAUGCGGUAUUAGCACCUAUUUCUAAGUGUUAUCCCCCAGUGCAGGGCAGGUUGCCCACGCGUUACUCACCCGUCCG